GAAAUGCGAUAAGUAAUGCGAAUUGCAGAAUUUCCGUGAGUCAUCGAAUCUUUGAACGCACAUUGCGCCCUUUGGUAUUCCGAAGGGCAUGCCUGUUCGAGCGUCAUUAUCACCCCUCAAGCUUCAGCUUGGUGUUGGACGGUCGGUGGUGGGUUCUUCCACGACCCCUCCCAAAGUUAAUGACGGCGGCCUGUUCACCCCCGGUACACUGAGCUUCUUUACUGAGCACGUAUCGGUUUCAAGGGUGCCAGGACACCGGUCCUCUCUCCCGCCAGGGAGAAAAACCUCAAGGUUUGACCUCGGAUCAGGUAGGGAUACCCGCUGAACUUAA
Molecule: unclassified non-coding RNA, 331 nt
Filed under: uncultured Chaetothyriales
Lineage: Eukaryota; Fungi; Ascomycota; Eurotiomycetes; Chaetothyriales
Description: sequence contains ITS1
Rfam family: 5.8S ribosomal RNA (bases 1-106)
Source: RNAcentral